ACAAACAGGGGAGCUUGUAGACAGGCUGAGAGGAAGUUUUUUGAACUUCGACCCUUUUACCUGAUGCGGAUAAUGCCGCCGUAGGAAGUGUGAA
This 94-nucleotide non-coding RNA is filed under the name bovine gut metagenome. RNAcentral's name for it is "TPP riboswitch (THI element)". It matches the Rfam family "TPP riboswitch aptamer (THI element)", at positions 6 to 95 of the family's 105-position model. From Rfam's summary of the family: Vitamin B(1) in its active form thiamin pyrophosphate (TPP) is an essential coenzyme that is synthesised by coupling of pyrimidine and thiazole moieties in bacteria. The previously detected thiamin-regulatory element, thi box was extended, resulting in a new, highly conserved RNA secondary structure, the THI element, which is widely distributed in eubacteria and also occurs in some archaea. Analysis of operon structures identified a large number of new candidate thiamin-regulated genes, mostly transporters, in various prokaryotic organisms. The record is from RNAcentral.